Molecule: small nuclear RNA, 57 nt
Filed under: Leishmania braziliensis MHOM/BR/75/M2904
Lineage: Eukaryota; Euglenozoa; Kinetoplastea; Trypanosomatida; Trypanosomatidae
Description: small nuclear RNA, U5 snRNA
Source: RNAcentral
CGCUGCUUCGACUUUUACUAAGCAGCGCUGCUAACAAUCCUCGCAAAUUUUAAGGCC